Molecule: ribosomal RNA, 587 nt
Filed under: Fusarium sp. BESC246f
Lineage: Eukaryota; Fungi; Ascomycota; Sordariomycetes; Hypocreales; Nectriaceae
Description: eukaryotic LSU rRNA
Rfam family: Eukaryotic large subunit ribosomal RNA
Source: RNAcentral
ACCUCGGAUCAGGUAGGAAUACCCGCUGAACUUAAGCAUAUCAAUAAGCGGAGGAAAAGAAACCAACAGGGAUUGCCCUAGUAACGGCGAGUGAAGCGGCAACAGCUCAAAUUUGAAAUCUGGCUCUCGGGCCCGAGUUGUAAUUUGUAGAGGAUACUUUUGAUGCGGUGCCUUCCGAGUUCCCUGGAACGGGACGCCAUAGAGGGUGAGAGCCCCGUCUGGUUGGAUGCCAAAUCUCUGUAAAGUUCCUUCAACGAGUCGAGUAGUUUGGGAAUGCUGCUCUAAAUGGGAGGUAUAUGUCUUCUAAAGCUAAAUACCGGCCAGAGACCGAUAGCGCACAAGUAGAGUGAUCGAAAGAUGAAAAGCACUUUGAAAAGAGAGUUAAAAAGUACGUGAAAUUGUUGAAAGGGAAGCGUUUAUGACCAGACUUGGGCUUGGUUAAUCAUCUGGGGUUCUCCCCAGUGCACUUUUCCAGUCCAGGCCAGCAUCAGUUUUCCCCGGGGGAUAAAGGCGGCGGGAAUGUGGCUCUCUUCGGGGAGUGUUAUAGCCCACCGUGUAAUACCCUGGGGGGGACUGAGGUCGCGCNU